GGGCUUGUAGCUCAGUUGGGAGAGCGCCGCGUUCGCAACGCGGAGGUCAUGGGUUCGAGCCCCACCAGGUCCACCA
This 76-nucleotide transfer RNA is filed under the name Clostridiales bacterium. RNAcentral's name for it is "tRNA-Ala". It matches the Rfam family "tRNA". Rfam says of the family: Transfer RNA (tRNA) molecules are approximately 80 nucleotides in length. Their secondary structure includes four short double-helical elements and three loops (D, anti-codon, and T loops). Further hydrogen bonds mediate the characteristic L-shaped molecular structure. tRNAs have two regions of fundamental functional importance: the anti-codon, which is responsible for specific mRNA codon recognition, and the 3' end, to which the tRNAs corresponding amino acid is attached (by aminoacyl-tRNA synthetases). tRNAs cope with the degeneracy of the genetic code in two manners: having more than one tRNA (with a specific anti-codon) for a particular amino acid; and 'wobble' base-pairing, i.e. permitting non-standard base-pairing at the 3rd anti-codon position. The record is from RNAcentral. Lineage: Bacteria; Bacillati; Bacillota; Clostridia; Eubacteriales.